ACAUACUUCCACACAAACAGUAGGUAUCCUACGCACAUACUUCCACACAAACAGUAGAUAUCCUACGCACAUACUUCCACACAAACAGUAGGUAUCCUACGCACAUACUUCCACACAAACAGUAGAUAUCCUACGCACAUACUUCCACACAAUCAGUAGGUGCGUUUUAUCUCUAUAGUUCUCACCACUGUGUAUCACUGCCUAGCCGACAGUUCCACUCCCCCGAGAUUAGGGAAACCUUGAGAAGUACUCCCUGUGCUCUCAUAGGUUCCUCAGAGUUCCUGCCAGGUCGGUUCAAACACAGUUGAACUGUUCUAUGUAUUUUCUUCGGCACACACACACAAGUUCAAAUCCUGAGCUACGCCUUGCUCAGACAGUCUGUGUUUUUCCACUAUACAGAUACAUUGUUUAACCUAAUUCCGGCAAAAACUACACACAUCAUCGGAUUAUAAUUUUAUGAUUCUAAUCAAUUUCAUACAGUUUUAAGGUUUCAGAGUGGAAUUAUUUAAUCAUUAUCUUUCAACAUUAAAAUGAUUUUAUCAGUAACCACGGUUAUGUGUGCUACCGGAUCACUCCAAUCCUCUUUGUCGGUGAUCUAUGGCACCUCGAAAAAGGACACGAGGGGGAAGUAGUGCAGCGGCAGCUAUUUAAGUGGUUUCGCCGCAGCCUCAGCAAUACUGAAAUCCUUACUCAGAAUGUGUCCUGCUGCGCGGAGGGAUACCUUAUUGAAGGAUACCAUAUUGGAAUGAUUCAAUAGCUCACAUAACCGUGGUUACGUACGUAACCUUCGUUUUUCCUGACACCGCUAUGAUCUUCUCCACGGCCCCGAAUAUCUCCACAGCAGCCGCCGAGAAACGCUCGGUGACUAACAACUGUAGUUUGCACAUAUUGAUGAUAGUUAUGAAUGAUGAUACUUUUAAUGUCCAUUACAGGGCGUUCCAGGAAUGCUCCAUAGAAGCCGCCGCCAGAGAUUUUUCAACUAACCUGUUCUUGGCAACGAAAAUUCAGAAAGAUACUACAUACAUGUUUUGUAUGGAGUGAGAUAUGCCUCUUCCAUCUGUGUAGAUCUUUGUUUUGGUCGCACUUUGUUACGCGCUGUCAUCUACUUCUACACGUGGCCGUUGACGCUUCGCAUAGAAAUGACUAGUUCCUGAAAAAAUGCUGGGAAAUGUUAGAUGUGUGGCAGCUAAAAUGGCAAGGAACCUCCUCGCAGGGUACAAAACAUGGAUUUAAUAUCUUUCUGAGUUUUCUUGUUUUUAUAGAACCACCUGCAAAUGGAAUCGAGAAUUAAGAAAUGAUCGCCAAGAACAGGUUAGUUAAAAAAUCUAUGGUGGCGGUUUGUGUGGGGCUUUCCUGUAACGGCCAGUAAUGGACACCAAAAACCUUGAGGUGAGGAGGAGGAUUAUUUCAGAUGUUUUUGGAAGAUGGGCAGGGACUCUGCUGUCCUAGCUUCAGGGAGAUGCUGAUUCUACCAUUGGGGUGCCAGGACAGAGAAGAACUUGGGCUGAGUGGGAGCUGCCUUCCUGUAGGGGUGGGAGGGCCAAGAGACCUGAGGUGUCAGAACGGAGUGCUCGGGUUGGGGUGUAGGGUUUGAGCAUAGCCUGAUUGUAGGUAAGGGAAAUUCCUCUUGUUGUUCCGUAUGCAAGCACCAUGGUCUUGUAGUGGAUGGGAGCUUCGAUUGGAAGCCAAUGGAGUGUGAGGAGGUGCGGGGUGACAUGAGAGAACUUGGGAAGGUUGAAAACCAGGCGGGCUGCAGCGUUCUGGAUAAUUGCAGGGAUUUAAUGGCACGAGUGGGGAGCCCAGCCAACAGCGAGUCGUAGUAGUCCAGACGGGAGAGGACGAGUUCCUGGAUUAGGACCUGCACCGCUUCCUGUGUGAGGUAGGGUCGUAUUCUACGGCUGUUGUAGAGCAUGAACCUGCAGGAGUGUGUCACUGCUUUGAUGUUUGCAGAGAACAGCAGGGUGUUGUCCAGGGUCACGACAGGGUGUUGUCCAGGGUCACGACAGGGUGUUGUCCAGGGUCACGACAGGGUGUUGUCCAGGGUCACGACAGGGUGUUGUCCUGGGUCACGACAGGGUGUUGUCCUGGGUCACGACAGGGUGUUGUCCUG
Oncorhynchus tshawytscha (Chinook salmon) is the source of this 2110-nucleotide long non-coding RNA. The record is from Ensembl. NCBI's taxonomy places the organism in Eukaryota, Metazoa, Chordata, Actinopteri, Salmoniformes, Salmonidae.